This 405-nucleotide ribosomal RNA is filed under the name uncultured bacterium. RNAcentral describes it as "bacterial SSU rRNA". It matches the Rfam family "Bacterial small subunit ribosomal RNA", at positions 356 to 773 of the family's 1533-position model. The record is from RNAcentral.
GGGGAAUAUUGCACAAUGGGCGAAAGCCUGAUGCAGCGACGCCGCAUGAGGGACGACGGCCUUCAGGUUGUAAACCUCUUUCAGCAGGGACGAAGCGAAAGUGACUGUACCUGCAAAAGAAGCACCGGCUAACUACGUGCCAGCAGCCGCGGUAAUACGUAGGGUGCAAGCGUUGUCCGGAUUUAUUGGGCGUAAAGAGCUCGUAGGCGGUUUGUCGCGUCGGAUGUGAAAACCUAUGGCUUAACCAUGGGCCUGCAUUCGAUACGGGCAGACUAGAGUUCGGUAGGGGAGACUGGAACUCCUGGUGUAGCGGUGAAAUGCGCAGAUAUCAGGAAGAACACCGGUGGCGAAGGCGGGUCUCUGGGCCGAUACUGACGCUGAGGAGCGAAAGCGUGGGGAGCAAAC